GAGAAUGUGCCCAGUGCUCCUGAUCCUCCAAGUCAGCAUUUACGUGGGCAUGGAACAGGCUUUUGCUUUGAUUCCAGCUUUGAUGUUCACAAGAAGUGUCCCCUCUGUGAAUUAAUGUUCCCUCCCAACUAUGAUCAGAGCAAAUUUGAAGAACACGUUGAAAGUCACUGGAAGGUGUGCCCCAUGUGCAGCGAGCAGUUCCCUCCUGACUAUGACCAGCAGGGCUUUGAAAGGCAUGUGCAGACCCAUUUUGAUCAGAAUGUUUUAAAUUUUGACUAGUUACUUUUUAUUCUGAGUUAGUAAUACAAUUUAGCAAUUAAAAAAAAAAAUCACCUCAAAUAGACCACUAUGGAGACCACAAGGUAUCAUUUCCGCACACCCUCUCUCUGCCAUUCUUUUUUGAACAAGUGCUACUUUUGAGUUUCAUGUUUGUUACUAGGGUCAGGGUCUGUCUGUAGCUUAUCAGUAAAUAAAAUUGUAACCCCUGUUAAUUUUACCAGCUUAAGAAAAGUUUUUCUGUGUUUGUAUCUUUAUUUAUUCCCAUUUGCAAAAGUAUAUGAAUAAAGGAGAUGGAUUAUUUUAAUGUUACAGGCUGAAAAAAUAUAUAUGUAGUGUGUCAUUUAGCAUAUUUAGAAGUUUCUGUUGACCUCGUUGAUUGAGCAUGACUACUAAAUAUUAUGUAACAAAAGUAAUUCAUCAUUAGUCUUGCAAAUUCGUUGAAUACAGAAGCUUCCAUAAUUUAGCCCGUGAAAGGAUGGUUUUUUCACUUUCUUUAGAAAUGGAAAUGCAUGUAGAAUGAGCUCACAUGCUUGCAGUAUAGCACAUACCUUUUUAUAUUUAAAAUGUUGCUUUAGGAUUAGAAGGCAUAUUUUGCUAAUUUUAUGACUAAAACAUUUUAGAAUGACCUGAAUAAUUAUUUUUAAGCCAUCUUGAAGUUGUAUUUCUACCUAAUGGGAAAAUGGAACAAGAUAGGUUAGUGCAAUUGUUUCAUACUAAAUGAUCUACUAAAUGGUGGUGUUGGUGGCAUAAAAUCACAGAAAAUGUAUCCAUAUCUUUUUCACAUUUUCUUGAUUAAAAAUGUGAUGUAUAAACACAAAUCAAUGUGUUAUAUCUCUGUAUAGUAUUCUCAUUAACAUUAAAGAGGACACAUUUUUUUGGA
Molecule: long non-coding RNA, 1159 nt
Organism: Enhydra lutris kenyoni (northern sea otter)
Lineage: Eukaryota; Metazoa; Chordata; Mammalia; Carnivora; Mustelidae
Exons: 2
Source: RefSeq, a predicted model, not a curated record